This is an RNA transcript of Daphnia pulex (common water flea), 1478 nucleotides long. RefSeq lists it as uncharacterized. The transcript is spliced from 8 exons. NCBI's taxonomy places the organism in Eukaryota, Metazoa, Arthropoda, Branchiopoda, Diplostraca, Daphniidae. The record is from RefSeq and is a predicted model, not a curated record.
CGGCUUAAGUGCAGCAGGAUUUUCAUAUAAAAAAAACUAAAUUAAAAGACUUAUGGUGUCUAAUAACGUUUUAGCUGUCUAAUAAUUUUAAUCACAGACUAUUACGCAGGCCGGCAGGCGUAUCAAAAAAGGUUUGGCUUAAUAACAGGUGGAGGCGUGCGUUGCGCCCCCGCUACCAGGCAAGCAGACAACUGUAGCAGACAAUGAGACAACAAAUCAACAAAGGUGGUGCAUGAAAAACUUGAAAAAAAGGUUUCUGGGGUUUGUAGUACUUUGCUUGCUACAAAUGGCGCUCCGUAGUCCGUAGUUAUUGUGAAUAUCGAAAAACAUUCACACUGUCACACAUAUUAGCAUUAUAACAUAUUGAAUUUCAGAGUUCAAAUAACCUUUUUGACAUCCGAUGGACAAAAUUUCUCAACAAGAAACGAUGAUAUCGAAAAUCAAUGGCUCGUGUCCGACGUCUCCAAUAUAUUCCCAUGACUAUUGUUUUUCCUAAUAGCUCAUGGAAGAUUCCCGCGAAUGAGACUCUCUUGGCCUCUUCUAUGAUUUGACCAUUCGCGGCAGCCGGCAGGUGACAACCUCAGAUGAAUUACUCAACAGGUUUCUUGUACAGUACCUGCAGAUUGAAAAGAAGAACACCACAGUGGACUACCAUCACCGGUAUAUCUAACUGGACGCCCUCCUGUUUCCUAGAUCUCGCGAAAGUUUGUCUGCUAUACUUAUAAGUUUGUAGACCUAUUCCAAUCCCCAGCAACAUCAAUCUGCAGAAGGAAAGCCCUGUUUGCAUGCCCUUGACUUUCGAAGGUCACCGAGAUCAUUACGUAAAACGUGUCAUGCAGUGGUGUAGAGGUUGGGUGAGAACGACCCAUCCCCAGCAACGUCAACCUGCGGAACCAGUUUUCUUGUCCUUAGCGCUCGAAGGUCACGGAGAUCAUUAAGUAAUACGUAUCAUGCGACGGCGGAGAGGUUGGGUGAGAAAGGAGAGAGAAAAGGCCAGAGACAUCAGUCGAGUGAGGAUCUCCGACACGGCAACAACUGCAGCGCACUCUCUGUCACCAUCUGCCUUCUUCAGCGUAUUGCCAGUUCGUAUCCAUGGUUAAUAAGGCGUCGUACGCUGUUCGGUGUUGUGUCGUUGUUUGGUGGGUCGACCACUGGUGUAUCGAUGUCUUCUUGGUAUGGCGGCUACCAAACCGCAACGCCGCCGCCUUCCCAAAAGCAACUCACGCAACGACCAGUUAUUGCACCAAGGUCUACAAGUACUACACUACUAAGGCACCGGAGUUUUAUACCAUAAUUUCCGCUGCCCCGAGCCACUACACUGACGUCCUGAAGUAUUACUCUGCCCCGAGUUACUACACCACCAAGGCAACGGAGUAUGACUAUGCAUUCUGCCCCAUCCUACUACAUCGAGGCUCCCAACUGCUACACCGAGGCUCCCGCUGAUUACUCCACCGAAGCGGCAAAGUACUACUCUGCCC